GAGGACAUGGGAAGCUUGCUUCCUAUGGACUCUAGUGGCAAACGGGUGAGUAACGCGUAAGCAACCUGCCCUCCGGAUGGGGACAACAGCUGGAAACGGCUGCUAAUACCGAAUGCGUUUCUACUGCCGCAUGACAGUAGGAAGAAAGGUGGCCUCUGAAUAUGCUACCGCCGGGGGAGGGGCUUGCGUCUGAUUAGCUAGUUGGAGGGGUAACGGCCCACCAAGGCGACGAUCAGUAGCCGGUCUGAGAGGA
Molecule: ribosomal RNA, 253 nt
Filed under: Megasphaera stantonii
Lineage: Bacteria; Bacillati; Bacillota; Negativicutes; Veillonellales; Veillonellaceae
Description: partial 16S ribosomal RNA
Rfam family: Bacterial small subunit ribosomal RNA
Source: RNAcentral